Molecule: ribosomal RNA, 460 nt
Filed under: uncultured bacterium
Lineage: Bacteria
Description: partial 16S ribosomal RNA
Rfam family: Bacterial small subunit ribosomal RNA
Source: RNAcentral
CCUACGGGAGGCAGCAGUGAGGAAUAUUGGUCAAUGGGCGCGAGCCUGAACCAGCCAAGUAGCGUGAAGGAUGAAUGCCCUAUGGGUUGUAAACUUCUUUUAUAUGGGAAUAAAGUGCAGUAUGUAUACUGCUUUGCAUGUACCUUAUGAAUAAGGAUCGGCUAACUCCGUGCCAGCAGCCGCGGUAAUACGGAGGAUCCGAGCGUGAUCCGGAUUUAUUGGGUUUAAAGGGAGCGAAGGCGGGUUGUUACGUCAGUUGGGAAAGUUUGCGGCUCAACCGUAAAAUUGCCGUUGAUACUGGCAUCCUUUAGUUCAGUAGAGGUAGGCGGCAUUCGUGUUGUAGCGGUGACAUGCUUAGCUAUCACGAAGCACUCCUCUUGCGAAGGCAGCCUGCUGGACUGUAACUGCCGCUGAUGCUCGAACGUGUGGGUAUCAAACAGGAUUCGCUACCCCAGUAGUC